UAAAGUUUAGAUCUUUAUUUGACAAACAAUACUCACGUCUUGUUUAAACUUAUUGUUGGUAGAUAUAUUUUUUUUAGCAUGUAAAGUUGUUUAUUUUAUGUUGGAAGAAUAAUUAUUAUUAUUUGUUGCGCCUUAAUAAAAAUAGUAAUUAGUUAAGUCAAGAAUUUGUCAUUUGCUUACUAAUUAUUUUAAUGGAUUUCAAAACCCUCAUAUAAGAUAUGAAGUGCUAGCUUUAUUUUUCAUCCAAGAUGUUUAUUCUUCUUUGUUCGCAUGUUGUCUUUUCAAAAUGAUAAGAAAGUUCAAACUUUUGCGGCUAAAUAAAAUUAUUUGGAUAUUUUUGACUCAUGCAUAGUAUGAUUGUGAAACUUUUGCUUUGCAUUUUUU
Molecule: long non-coding RNA, 384 nt
Filed under: Capsicum annuum
Lineage: Eukaryota; Viridiplantae; Streptophyta; Magnoliopsida; Solanales; Solanaceae
Description: long non-coding RNA (CANN_LNC004643)
Source: RNAcentral